GGCAGGCGGUUCAUUAAGUCCCCUGUGAAACCCCGAGGCUCAACUUCGGACAUGCAGGAGAUACUGGUGAGCUAGAGAUCGGUAGAGGCAGGCGGAAUUCCUGGUGUAGCGGUGGAAUGCGUAGAUAUCAGGAAGAACACCUGUGGCGAAGGCGGCCUGCUGGGCCGAUUCUGACGCUGAUCCGCGAAAGCGUGGGGAGCAAACA
This 205-nucleotide ribosomal RNA is filed under the name uncultured bacterium. RNAcentral describes it as "partial 16S ribosomal RNA". It matches the Rfam family "Bacterial small subunit ribosomal RNA", at positions 570 to 774 of the family's 1533-position model. The record is from RNAcentral.